This 368-nucleotide unclassified non-coding RNA is filed under the name uncultured fungus. Its description in RNAcentral is "partial contains small subunit ribosomal RNA, internal transcribed spacer 1, and 5.8S ribosomal RNA". The stretch from base 1 to 73 matches the Rfam family "Eukaryotic small subunit ribosomal RNA", at positions 1759 to 1831 of the family's 1831-position model. The record is from RNAcentral. Lineage: Eukaryota; Fungi.
UCAAACUUGGUCAUUUAGAGGAAGUAAAAGUCGUAACAAGGUUUCCGUAGGUGAACCUGCGGAAGGAUCAUUAUCGAGUUCUUUGAAGUGGGUCUUUCUGAUGCUGGCGCCUCUGUGGUGCAUGUGCUCGGGACCCCGCUCAUCCACUCAACCCCUGUGCACUUUUCGAAGUCUGUCGUCGGCUCCCAUUUGGAGCAGCUGGAGGUUUGGCCCUUAGUUGAGCCAUUCUCUUUGGCCGGGUCGUCGACGCUUCGUAUUAUUACAAACAACUUAUAAGUCUUGUAGAAUGUGAAGCCUCAUUGUGGGCGAAACUUAAUACAACUUUCAACAACGGAUCUCUUGGCUCUCGCAUCGAUGAAGAACGCAGC